AUGCUUAUAGAGGAAACUUUAAUCCUAGACCGUUUCCUAGUAAUUCCUCUAAUAAUUAUGGUAAUUCCUACAACAACUCUUAUGGAAAUUUUAAUAAGAUGCCCUUUGAUUUUGAGAAGUGUUAAAGAAUUUAUGAUCUCUCAAAAGAAUUUUAAUGCUUUGCUUGAAGAAAAAUUGCUUAAAGUUGAUGAUUUGGCUAGGAACAUUGAUAGACUUUCGCUUGAUGUUGAUUCUUUGAAACGUAGAUCUACUCCACCUAAGCAUGAUAUCAAUGAGUCUCUCAAAGCCAUGAGAAUUUCCAUUGAUGAGUGCAAAGAAAGAACCGCUAGGUUGCAUGCUAAGAAAGAUUGCUUUGUAAAAGCGUGUUCUUCUUUUCCAUGA
Molecule: ribosomal RNA, 381 nt
Filed under: Triticum aestivum (bread wheat)
Lineage: Eukaryota; Viridiplantae; Streptophyta; Magnoliopsida; Poales; Poaceae
Description: partial small subunit ribosomal RNA
Source: RNAcentral